CACCUCUUCUGUCAUCCGCUGGAGGAAUCCACACACAUCCUGCAGCUUCUCUGCUGUGAGCUGAGCUCUGAGACACCAGCCAGAGUCCUCAUGACCAAUAGAAGAGGGAAAUCCAGACCCACGCAAUUCAGCCAGAAUUUCAGAUCUGUUCCUAUUCGCCUCCAAGCAGGUGCAUUGGGCCCUAUGAAUAAAUCAUAAAGCAUGUUAUGAUCAAACAACCCUCUGUGCGGCCCCUGCAGAUCUUGUGGAUUUUCCGAGUGAGGAAGCAGGCAGGUUUCGACCUGUUUUUUCCAGACUCUGGACGCGCUCUCGGAGCAGAUCCGCUUGUUUGGCCUGGUCUUGUAAGGUCUUAACGUGCUCCAGUCCUGCAGCCAGU
Danio rerio (zebrafish) is the source of this 376-nucleotide non-coding RNA. The record is from RefSeq and is a predicted model, not a curated record. Lineage: Eukaryota; Metazoa; Chordata; Actinopteri; Cypriniformes; Danionidae.